CAACCGAGUUGUAAUUUGGAGACGGGACACUAGAGAGGAGGAAGGCGAUUAAGUGCCUUGGAACAGGCUGCCGUAGAGGGUGAGAGCCCCGUGAAUCGCUGGAGACCGAUCAAUUAGUGCCCGCCGAAGAGUCGAGUUGUUUGGGAAUGCAGCUCUAAGUGGGUGGUAUAUUCCAUCUAAGGCUAAAUAUUAGCGAGAGACCGAUAGCAAACAAGUACAGUGAUGGAAAGAUGAAAAGAACUUUGGAAAGAGAGUGAAAUAGUACGUGAAAUUGUUGAAAGGGAAGGGUAUUUGAUCCGACAUGGUGUUUAGCAGCGGCCCGUUCCUCGUGGAUGGGUGCACCUGGUUUACACUGGGCCAGCAUCGGUUCUGGGAGCCAUAUACGGGGUUCGUGAAUGUGGCCCUUCGAUUCUGUCGGAGGGUGUUAUAGCGCGGACAUCUUGUGGCUAGCCGGGACCGGGGACUGCGGUGACUUUCACC
Molecule: ribosomal RNA, 480 nt
Filed under: Brettanomyces bruxellensis
Lineage: Eukaryota; Fungi; Ascomycota; Pichiomycetes; Pichiales; Pichiaceae
Description: partial large subunit ribosomal RNA
Rfam family: Eukaryotic large subunit ribosomal RNA
Source: RNAcentral